AACGGUCUAUACCUGCGGUACCUGCGGAAGGAUCAUUACAGAGUUGCAAAACUCCAAACCAUUGUGAACUUACCUUUGCCGUUGCUUCGGCGGGCGGCCCGGGUCCCGACCCGGCGCCCCCCGGCCCCGUCAGGGGCGCCCGCCGGAGGUAAACCAAACUCUUGAAUUGUAUGGCCUCUCUGAGUCUUCUGUACUGAAUAAGUCAAAACUUUCAACAAUGGAUCUCUAGAUCGGAAGAGC
Molecule: unclassified non-coding RNA, 240 nt
Filed under: soil metagenome
Description: partial contains 5.8S ribosomal RNA, internal transcribed spacer 2, and large subunit ribosomal RNA
Source: RNAcentral